UGGUUCUCGCAUCGAUGAAGAACGCAGCGAAAUGCGAUAAGUAGUGUGAAUUGCAGAAUUCAGUGAAUCAUCGAAUCUUUGAACGCACAUUGCGCCUCCUGGCAUUCCGGGAGGCAUGCCUGUUCGAGCGUCAGUAAAGCCCUCUCGGGCCCCUUUCUCCGGGGCCCGGUAUUGGGAGAGGAGUGCUGCACCUGCCUGCCCUCCCUCCGGAAAUCAAAUGGCGGAGAGCCCCACGUUGCCCCCUGCGUAGUAAGUUUUCUUUCGCUCGGAACGUGAGGGUGAUCCUGCCGCAAACCACACCAAAAGUGAUUAAUUCAGGUUGACCUCGAAUCGGGUAGGGAUACCCGCUGA
This 351-nucleotide unclassified non-coding RNA is filed under the name uncultured fungus. RNAcentral describes it as "partial contains 5.8S ribosomal RNA and internal transcribed spacer 2". The stretch from base 1 to 133 matches the Rfam family "5.8S ribosomal RNA", at positions 22 to 154 of the family's 154-position model. The record is from RNAcentral. Lineage: Eukaryota; Fungi.